CAGCCAUAUCAUGUUGAAACACCACUUCUCAUACAAUCAUUGAAGUUAAUCCAUGUUGGACCUGGUUAGUACCUAGACGGGUGACUGCUUGGGAAUACCAAAUGCUGCU
Molecule: non-coding RNA, 109 nt
Organism: Acanthosepion pharaonis
Lineage: Eukaryota; Metazoa; Mollusca; Cephalopoda; Sepiida; Sepiidae
Source: the annotation of a GenBank genome assembly